GGAGACUGCAGUUUGCAGUGAUGUGGCUAAGAUACCCUUGUGCUAUUAAAGGCACAUUUACGUAUCUUUCAACGCAGUUUGUACCUUUGUUUAGGGUUCUAUUGAACUUUCUCUGUGCUCUUUAGAAAACCGUCGAAUAAAGGGAGGUCAUGGACCAAGUACAAAGCGGCAAAAGGAUGGAAUUAAGGUACCUGACAUUGUUGAACCCUUGCCUGAUGCCACAUUAGCUCAGGACUACCUACAUGGACAUGUACGUGAAAUACUACCCUACUUCCCCCUUAUUUAAGCCUUUUUUAUGGCGGGC
This 304-nucleotide long non-coding RNA is filed under the name Pan troglodytes (chimpanzee). Its description in RNAcentral is "long non-coding RNA NONPTRT013118". The record is from RNAcentral. Lineage: Eukaryota; Metazoa; Chordata; Mammalia; Primates; Hominidae.